RNAcentral lists this ribosomal RNA (253 nucleotides) under uncultured bacterium. RNAcentral's name for it is "partial 16S ribosomal RNA". It matches the Rfam family "Bacterial small subunit ribosomal RNA", at positions 524 to 776 of the family's 1533-position model. The record is from RNAcentral.
UACAGAGGGUGCGAGCGUUGUUCGGAAUUAUUGGGCGUAAAGGGUGCGUAGGCGGUUUGGUAAGUCUCUUGUGAAAUCUAUGGGCUCAACUCAUAGUCUGCAAGGGAAACUGCCGGGCUUGAGUGUGGGAGAGGUGAGUGGAAUUUCCGGUGUAGCGGUGAAAUGCGUAGAUAUCGGAAGGAACACCUGUGGCGAAAGCGGCUCACUGGACCACAACUGACGCUGAUGCACGAAAGCUAGGGGAGCAAACAGG